UAAUGUCUGGGAAACUGCCUGAUGGAGGGGGAUAACUACUGGAAACGGUAGCUAAUACCGCAUAACGUCGCAAGACCAAAGUGGGGGACCUUCGGGCCUCAUGCCAUCAGAUGUGCCCAGAUGGGAUUAGCUAGUAGGUGGGGUAACGGCUCACCUAGGCGACGAUCCCUAGCUGGUCUGAGAGGAUGACCAGCCACACUGGAACUGAGACACGGUCCAGACUCCUACGGGAGGCAGCAGUGGGGAAUAUUGCACAAUGGGCGCAAGCCUGAUGCAGCCAUGCCGCGUGUGUGAAGAAGGCCUUCGGGUUGUAAAGCACUUUCAGCGGGGAGGAAGGCGAUAAGGUUAAUAACCUUGUCGAUUGACGUUACCCGCAAAAGAAGCACCG
RNAcentral lists this ribosomal RNA (388 nucleotides) under Klebsiella pneumoniae. RNAcentral's name for it is "bacterial SSU rRNA". It matches the Rfam family "Bacterial small subunit ribosomal RNA", at positions 111 to 495 of the family's 1533-position model. Lineage: Bacteria; Pseudomonadati; Pseudomonadota; Gammaproteobacteria; Enterobacterales; Enterobacteriaceae. The record is from RNAcentral.